This 483-nucleotide ribosomal RNA is filed under the name uncultured Gram-positive bacterium. RNAcentral's name for it is "bacterial SSU rRNA". It matches the Rfam family "Bacterial small subunit ribosomal RNA", at positions 45 to 539 of the family's 1533-position model. The record is from RNAcentral.
UGCUUAACACAUGCAAGUCGAACGGAAAGGCCCUGCUUUUGUGGGGUGCUCGAGUGGCGAACGGGUGAGUAACACGUGAGUAACCUGCCCUUGACUUUGGGAUAACUUCAGGAAACUGGGGCUAAUACCGGAUAGGAGCUCCUGCUGCAUGGUGGGGGUUGGAAAGUUUCGGCGGUUGGGGAUGGACUCGCGGCUUAUCGGCUUGUUGGUGGGGUAGUGGCUUACCAAGGCUUUGACGGGUAGCCGGCCUGAGAGGGUGACCGGCCACAUUGGGACUGAGAUACGGCCCAGACUCCUACGGGAGGCAGCAGUGGGGAAUAUUGCACAAUGGGCGGAAGCCUGAUGCAGCAACGCCGCGUGCGGGAUGACGGCCUUCGGGUUGUAAACCGCUUUCGCCUGUGACGAAGCGUGAGUGACGGUAAUGGGUAAAGAAGCACCGGCUAACUACGUGCCAGCAGCCGCGGUGAUACGUAGGGUGCGAGC